RNAcentral lists this ribosomal RNA (566 nucleotides) under Dendropsophus anataliasiasi (Goias treefrog). RNAcentral's name for it is "partial large subunit ribosomal RNA". It matches the Rfam family "Bacterial large subunit ribosomal RNA", at positions 1832 to 2597 of the family's 2925-position model. Lineage: Eukaryota; Metazoa; Chordata; Amphibia; Anura; Hylidae. The record is from RNAcentral.
CCUCUCGUAAUAUAUGAGAGGUCCAGCCUGCCCAGUGACUAAAUUCAACGGCCGCGGUAUCCUAACCGUGCGAAGGUAGCGUAAUCACUUGUUUUUUAAAUGAAGACUAGUAUGAAUGGCACCACGAGGGUUAUACUGUCUCCUUUUUUUAAUCAAUGAAACUGAUCUCCCCGUGAAGAAGCGGGGAUAUUUAUAUAAGACGAGAAGACCCUAUGGAGCUUUAAACAAUUAUAGCACUGGCCCACACUUCUUAUUCUCCUGAGACAUAAUUAUUAUAUAGACCAACAUGACUAUUAGUUUUAGGUUGGGGUGACCACGGAGCAAAAAAUAACCUCCAUGUUGAACAGAGCUACUCCUGAGCUAAAAGCUACAACUUUAAGCACCAAUAAACUGACAUCAAUUGACCCAACAUGUUGACCAACGAACCAAGUUACCCUAGGGAUAACAGCGCAAUCCAUUUCAAGAGCUCCUAUCGACAAAUGGGUUUACGACCUCGAUGUUGGAUUCAGGGUAUCCCAGUGGUGCAGCCGCUACUAAAGGUUCGUUUGUUCAACGAUUAAAACCCU